Macaca fascicularis (crab-eating macaque) is the source of this 6132-nucleotide long non-coding RNA. The record is from Ensembl. NCBI's taxonomy places the organism in Eukaryota, Metazoa, Chordata, Mammalia, Primates, Cercopithecidae.
UUUUACAUAGAAUAAAUGAUAAAAAUUUAUUGAUAGAAAGAGAUCAGCAUGGGGCUCAUGGAAGAGCAACUGAACCUCUGGCACCUGUGCAGGUCAGAGAGGGAACUGGAGAAGGAAGAUUGGGUGUAAGCAUAAGGCAAGAAGCAUCCCAUAUUUGCCAAAGUUGCUAAGUCUGCCUCCUGGGGUGGUAGGAAGCUAUUAUACAAGCUGGCAGCCCUUGACCCUGACACCUACUCUUGCAGGUGGGAGGUGUAAUGCACAAUUCUGAUAAAACAUGAAGACUCUGGCAAUAUUACUAAAACUUGUGUGAUAUGAAUGGGUUUGAGGCAGUAAUUCCAAAUUGAAUUUAUCUGAAGGAGAUAGUCAAGAAUGUGGACAAAGAUUUAGCUGCAUAGAUGUUCAUUACAGCAUUGUUUACAAUAGAAAAAGGAAAAGAAAGAACAAACCUAAAACUCUUUCAGCGGGGGAGGGUCAUGCAUCUUGCCCAAGUCGCACAGUCAAAAAGCAGGAGGGCCAGGCGGCCUGCUCCAAACCCAGGCCCCUCACCCGCCAGCUGUGCUCAGCUGGAAGGGAAAAUGGUGGAAAGGAGUAUGGUUUCCAGUUGGGAGUGCUGAGGAAAUAAUGCUCUUGAGUAUGGACUGUUACUUGAAGCUUGUAUAUUAGGAAUGUAUUUAUAUUAGUCAGAAAAUACAUUUAAAUGAUAGUUAACUUCCAUAAUGCCCAAGAUGGUGGCAAAGAGGGUAUUAGUUAAAAAUGUUCUGAGGAUAAAGUUAAAGUUGGGGGUUAAAUUGGGCAACAGUAAGUCAUGUGUAGCAUCAAAUGCCAUUUGUCAAGGCAGGAGGUUCAGGGUCAGAGCAGGUGUGUGGGAUGCCCAAGUCCAGUCCAAGAAAGCUGCCCUGUUACUCUGGAAAAGUCUGUACCCAGCCUGGCCACUGCUCAGAAGCCAAAGCUGGGCCACUGCUGGGUGCUGGGCCCCUAAAAAAUAGCACCAAAACCAACCAGGAUUCUGAGAACACUGCCCUUUCCCCAUACAUCCAAAACAAUAUAGAAUCCAAUAUGAAAUAUGGGUGCCAAUUGAGGGACACUGAGAAAGGGUGAGGACAGGGCCACGUGACGUUGUCGCCGAUUACAUGACUCCCUGAAAACAACAUUUAAUUUUCCCCACUUGGAAAUGGUAUUUCUCUUUCUGCUUGGGAAUGGGGACUGUGGGCACUGGUGAGAAACCUCUGUGGGGAUGAAUGGAAUCACUUCUAUCUAUAUGAAUCAAACAAAAAUGGCAAACCAUCAGACAAGCAGAAGCUGCAGGCAGAACCGCACACACACACACAUACACAUGCACACACAUACACAUGCACACAUACACACAUACACACGCACACAUACACACAUACACACACGCACACGCACACAUGCACACACACGCACGGAACAAGUUAUCUCUCAGAUCAGUGCUGCCUAAGCGAUACUGAGUCACAAACACAAUCUACAAGUGUACACUUUAAAUUUUCUAGUAGCUGCAUUUUUAAAAUUAAAAAAUGUGAAAUUAAUUUCAAUAUUAAUAUUUUAUUUCACUCAGCAUAUCCAAAAUAUUAUCACUCAAUGUGUAAUUGAUAUAAAAAUAUUGAGAUAUUUUAUAUUCUUUUUUUGGUAUUAAACGUGUUUUGGGAACCACAUCUCAAGAGUUCCAUAGCCACACGUGGCUGGUGGCUGCAUCACUUGCCAGUGCAGUUCUAGAUCGAUGGUUCUGAACAUUUCUCCACCCUGAUUCACUCCUUCUAGAAGCAGUGGCUCACUUAUUUGGGGUUAGGGGGUGAUGAUUGCAAAAAACUUCCAGAAGACAUUCUGACAAACCUUCCUGAGAGAAUCACUUCCUCCCCAAAUCCCUUGAGAGUUACUGUUUUUAUGUCUCUUGUUCUGUUUCCUGUGGGUGAUAAUUAACAGAGGCUUCCUGGAGGGGGAGGGAAGUUGCCAUGCAUCUGGGCUCCUCUGGGGCCCAGUUCCAGACAGGCAAGACCCACGUGCAGCUAGAAAUGGGACGUGGAAGGGCGUUUCCAGGGGUAGCCACAAGGCCUCCAAGUUCAACUUGAGAGCCUGGGGUUACAGACAGCAGUGGCCCACAGGACACGCUCCCUUUGUUCUACCUCUGGGAGCUACAAAGGCAAGCUGGUCUCCUGGGAGGAGGUGAAAGGUCUGAGGAUGCUUUCUCUCUCCUCUUGGUUAACUGUACACAAUGAGAAAUUAUUCCCCAAGGAAGCCAGAGAGAAGCGAUUGUGGGGAAGCAGAAGGGACUCGAAACCCAUGCCCCAAAGCUGGCCAGCUGUGAGCAAAGGGAAGGCAAUGAACUUGGCUCCAUUACAACCUUCAGACAAGGUGAGACUCAGCCAUUGGUGAGUGUGACGGGGCCUUUGAGGAGGCAGCUUUGUUCCCUUCCUCUCCAGGGACCAGGAGUGGAGGUCCCAGAGCCCAGUCAGCUCAGGGAACUCCAGUGCAGUCUCCGAGGGGAAAAGAACGGCCACAUGCAGACAGUGCAGGACCCACACUGACCUGCGCUCUCUUCCUGGAGGGGUGACUAAGGAUGUAAGAAAGAAAAAAUGCACGCUAUAAACAAAACUAAAAGGCAGACAAUAGUCCUGCAGUAUCCUCAAUGACCCUGCCACUAAAAACAACUCAAAAUGCUGAACAAAAUAUAUUUUUAAAAAAAUUUCUGAAAGCAUUGCUGAGCUGGCAAGUAAGUAAAGAAUCAAAUCUUCUGAGGCCAAAAAUGAACCAUGACUAGGAAUCCAGAGAAAUGAGCUAAUGUUGAGGCUGGCAGCUGCCCUGGAGGCACCUGUUCAACAUUUGUGACCUUGAAUUUCUGUUCUGAUGGCUGCCGAGAAUCAGGAGAUGGGAGACACGAUUCUCAAGGAGGGAAUCCAACAGGAAACCACUGUGUAAAGCUGGGACUUUACACAGCUAUGCCUUGGGUGUAAGGCAAAUAGAAACAAACCUGCCCCACAGAAGGGCACAGCAAAGAAACCUGGCCCUUCAAUCUUGGUUUCAAGUGAAAGAAGAAAUAAAUCUCACCCAAGAAUAUAUAACCAUAAAGCUAGCCCUCGUAUGGGUGUGCCGCAUGUCACAUUACCUCUGUGGUCUAAACUAAGGAUGUAUUUACGAGUGGUCCUGAAUCCUGCGAAUGUACUAAAAACCACCGAAUUGUAUACUUUCAAAGGGUAAACUUUAUGGCAUGUGAAUCAGGGGCCUCCACACCCAGGCCACGGACUGGUAGCGGUCCAUGGGAUAUUAGGAACCAGGCUGCACAGGAGGAGGUGAGCAGUGGGCAGGCGAGCAUUGCCACCUUAGCUCCGCCUCCUGCCAGCUAAGCAGUGGCAUCAGAUUCUCAAAGGAGCAAGAACCUUAUUGUGAACUGUGCAUGUCCGAAAGAUCUAAGUUGCAUGCUCUGUCUGAGAAUCUAACGCCUGAUAUGAUCUGAGGUGGAAGAGUUUCAUCCCAACCCCCAGCCCACCCCACUCCACCCUAUCUGUGGAAAAAUUGUCUUCCAUGAAACCGGUCUCUGGUGCCAAAAAGGUUGGGGACCACUGAUGUAAAUUAUAUCUCCAACACACACACAUCCUGUUAAUAAUGGAGCAGGGGCGGUCCUGAUGGAUAGUGCCUUCAGGUACCUGUACUGUGUAGACACAAAUACAAAUGCUCUCCAGAUAAACAUAUCUUCAAACCAGUUGUUAUCACUUAUUGAUAACAUUCUAAGGAAUAAGAGACCACAGUCAAAAAUCACAAAAUACAUGAGAAAAUGAGGCAUCCAUGAGGAAACAAGACAUCCAUACCUCUUUGUCUGGUAACUCUAGUAUUUGAAGUCUUUGCUUGUUAAACAAUUGCCAACAAAUUAGACAAGCAAAGACUUCAAAUGCUAGAAUUACCAGACAAAGAAGUAUACAAAACUACAUUAGAAAAAAAUGUUUUAAAAAGAGACUAUAAAUAAUAACCCAAAAUAUUUGAAACAAAGCUAGAUGGAAAUUCUAGAAAUAAAAAAGUAGUAAUUGAAAUUUUAAAAACUCAACAGCAGAUUAGAUAUGACCAAAGUGAGAAUUAGAAGAUAAUUAUAAUUCACUAGGCAUGGUGGCUCACACUUAUAAUUCUAGCACUUUGGGAGACCAAGGCAGGAGGAUCACUUGAGCCCAUGAGUUCAAGACCAGCCUGAGCAACAUAGUGAGACCUUGUCUCUACAAAUAAUAAACAAAAUUAGCUGGGUAUGGUGGUGCAUACCCGUGGUCCCAGCUACUUGGAAGGCUGAGGUGGAAGGAUCGCUUGAGCCCGGGAGAUGAAGGUUGCAGUGAGCUGUGAUUGUGCCACUAUACUCCAGCUUGGACAACAAAGUGAGACCAUCUCGAAAGAAAAAAAAAAAGAGUUAGAAAAUAAAUGAUAAUAGAAUGCUCAAAAUGAGAUUUAAAAACAGAAAAAUAUGAAAAAGAGGUUGGCCGGGCGUGGUGGCUCACGCCUGUAAUCCCAGCACUUUGGGAGGCCGAGGUGGGCGGAUCACAAGGUCAGGAGAUCGAGACCAUGGUGAAACCCCGUCUCUACUAAAAAUAGAAAAAAUUAGCCGGGCGCAGGGGCGGGCGCCUGUAGUCCCAGCUACUCGGGAGGCUGAGGCAGGAGAAUGGCGUGAACCCGGGAGGCGGAGCUUGCAGUGAGCCGAGAUUGCACCACUGCACUCCAGCCUGGGCAACAGAGCGAGACUCCGUCUCAAAAAAAAAAAAAAAGAAAAAGAGGUUAAGAGACAAAAAGAAUGAGAAAGUCCAACACACAAUGGAUUGGAGUUUAGGAGGAGAAAACAGAGAAAGUAGAAGUGAAAAUAUUUCUUUAAUUUUUAUUGUUUUAUUUUUUAUUUGAGACAGAGUCUCACUUUGUCACCCAGGCUGGAGUACAUCUCAGCUCAUUGCAACCUCCACCUCCUGGGUUCAAGCAAUUCUCAUGCCCCAGCUUCCUGAGUAGCUGGGAUUACAGGUGUGCCACACACCUGGUUAAUUUUUUUGUAUUUUUAGUAGAGAUGGGGUUUCACCAUGUUGGCCAGGCUGGUCUCAAACUCCUGACCUCAGGUGAUCUGCCCACCUCAGCCUCCCAAAGUGUGGGGCUUAUAGAAGUGGUAAUAUUUCAAAAGGUAAUGGCUGAAAAAUUUCUCAAACUAAUGAGAACUAUAAACCUUCAUUUUAUGGCGGCUUCUUAGGAGACUAAAUUGAAAAAGAAACAUAUACCUCUAUCAUAGUGAAACUGCACAAAAACCACAGGCUAAGACUAGGUCUUAAAAGCAACCAGAGGGGAUAGAAAUGAUAAAUCAUCUAUAGAAGGUGACAAUUACAGCUGAUUUCUCAGCAGUGACAAUGGAAGCCAAAAGACAGUGGAUAAAUAUUUUCAACAUGCUGAGAGAGAAAACUAUAAUCGUACAUUCAGCAAAGCUAUCUUUCAGAAACAUCUUCAGACUAUCAAAUAAAAACACGUUCAGUCAAAAUUAAGCUUUUCAACCAUUCCUACCAAAGGAAAUUAUAACAAAUUUCUUUCAAGCAGAAGAAAAACAAUCCUUAAUGAAAGAUAUCAGAUGCAAGUCAAUGUAAUGAGCAAAGAAAACAACACAUGUGUGAAUAAAUCUAAAGGAACACUGAAUUUAUGAAAUAAUAACAAUAAUUUCUCAUUUGUGAAAUAAAACAAGAUGGAACAAAUCCUGCAUAACAAUAGCUCAUAAGUCUGGCAUGGGAUAAUUAGAAUCAUGUUGCGUAGGAGAAGGUUAACUUUGAGUUCUGUGAAAAACGCAUUUAAAAUAUCUCUCUAAAGAAUAGAAAUAGAGGCCUGGCAUGGUGGCUCACGUCUGUAAUCUCAGCACUUUGGGAGGCUGAGGUGGGAGGAUUACUUGAGGCCAGAAGUUUGAAACCAGCCUGGGCCACAUAGUGAGAUACUGUCUCUAUCAAAUAAAAAAAAUUAACCAGGCAUGGUGGUACAUGCCUGUAGUUGCAGCUACUUGGGAGGCUAGGGUGGGAGGAUCGCUUGAGCCCAGGAGGUCAAGGCUGCAGUGAGCUGUGAUGGUGCCACUGCACUUCAGCCUGGAUGACAGAGCAAGACCCUGUUUCAAAAAAAAAAAAAAAAAAA